RNAcentral lists this long non-coding RNA (565 nucleotides) under Equus asinus (donkey). RNAcentral's name for it is "lncRNA (ENSEASG00005028361.1)". The record is from RNAcentral. Lineage: Eukaryota; Metazoa; Chordata; Mammalia; Perissodactyla; Equidae.
CUCAGAGGGAAGGCCAGGCAUGAGGAAAAGAGCCAUUCACUUCAUUAAUUUCAAUUUAGUAUUGAACCAUUUCAAUCAAUGAUUUAUUAUUUUUGUUUAUAAAAUAUGUUGUAGUUCCCCAAAGAGAGCUCUUAAUCCUCUUAAGAAUGCACUAAACUCCUCCAUAUCUGUUAGGACUGUGGAUUUGGGGUCCUCAGCAGUGAGAGAGAGUUAUAUCCGGGGUCCUGCUUGGCCUGUUUCAUUGGAGUUACCUCUCUCCCUGACAUUCAGCUGAAGCAACAGGAUUGGGUGGCCGCCAUAAUUUGACCAGCUGACUUCCAUUCCUGGUUCCAGCUGAUUGAACCAAAUGAGUCCCAGUUCAAGCUGAGCCAAUCAGCUUUGCGUCUUAUGGAUUUUAUCUUCAGAAGACAAAGAUUCAUCUAGGAUUUCCUAAGCCAUUUCCUCCAUUUGAACAGUGAGGCGUCUGUCUUCAUUGCCUUGGGGAGGAGUCCACACAGAUAAAGCAGACUACAGAAGAGGAAAAUUCUUGGCUAGUCUAUUUCUCUGUCAAUAAUAAACAGUGGAU